Molecule: long non-coding RNA, 2107 nt
Organism: Dermacentor silvarum
Lineage: Eukaryota; Metazoa; Arthropoda; Arachnida; Ixodida; Ixodidae
Exons: 3
Source: RefSeq, a predicted model, not a curated record
CGUUGAUGAGUGCGCGUGAUAACAUUUUGCUCUACACAGCUUUCUUGACAGCAUGGUGUCGUCGAAGCCUAAGAACUACAGUGUUUCUUGAAGUCUUGUACGUCAAAAUUCCCGUGUUUCGUGCGGUCCAGGAAACGCGAGCAAUUCUUAUUUUGCACGACUUGCGCAUGCGGCGUGAGCAUGGCCCACGGCGGCUAAGGUGACAUAAAGCUGCAUUUGGCGACUGCCAAACACCAAAGCUUCCUUCGUGCUGCUGAGAAGCAGAAAGCCGUGAGCAACUUCUUUGGCAACAGCAAUGAAGAUAAUGUUGUGCGUGCAGAGUGCCUUUUCACUGGAUUUCUCACGGAGUACAAUUUGCCGCUAAGGGUGAAUGAUCACGUUGGGCCACUUCUGCGCAAGAUGUUCCCGAAGUGCGAAGAUGCGAAGCGCUACGGAUGCCAUGUUUUCACCUUUGCAGUCGACGGCAGCGGUGACACCUCAUCGCAGCUUUACCCUGUCGUGGCAACCUAGAGAAAUGCGGGCGGGUUGAAAGCGAACUGUUGUGCAUGCAAGCACUUCAAGGAGAGGAUACUGGCCAAAAAAUUGGCAGUCUCGUGCCCGACGCAUUGCGUUCGCUUUAUACUUUAUAUAUCUGAGUUGAAUUGCAGACAAGAUAUGUCUAACCUUUCAGACUAGACUAAUAGCAUGCGCGGCAUAGAGAGAGAGAUCCCCCUCCCCGUGCAAUGAGUCUCCCGAUUUUCGCAGUCCCCAGGUUGGCAGAGGUGACUGACCUGCAGCAUCGUUUCUUUUUCUUGGAUAUUAUAAAACGAACACAGCGGUUUACUUUUUGUUACGUAGAAGGGCAGAAAUGACACGGAUAAUGACAAAAUCUCUCCAGGGUCAAGGCAUCCAUCCUCUCUCACAACUUCCUAAGUCACAGCAGAGAUGCCUCCACCGGUGACUGCUGCAAAUUUGAAACUGGAAACCUGUUCUGUCUGAAUACACGCAUAAGAAGCCACACAGGCGAGAAGCCAUUUCGGUGGCCUUCCUGCCUUCAGACCUUUGUGAAAAGCAGUGACCUCAAGAGACACUUGCACAUCCACCCAGGCGACCAACCAUAUCACUGGACCAACUGCUCCAAGUCCUUUGUACAGGCCGGUAACUUGAGGACACAUGAAAACACAGCACCAUGAUGCCAUAGAGUAGGGAGUAGGGACAUUGGUGUGCUUUUUGGGAUAAAUGAGUCUGAACAUGGAAUCUCUGUAGUAUAUGCGCAGUACGCUGUGUGGGGUUCUUGUGCAUUGAGAAGGGGCUACUAGUUUUGCUAUGUUUUGUCAUAUGUUGAAUCGCAAAGUAACAUUUAUUCACUGUAGUCUAACAAGUUGCAAAGAAAUUUGUUGUAGUGAUACUGCUUCCAUUACAGUAACCAUAUUUAUGCAGUAUACUUGCAUGGCAAGGCUCAACAAGGUAAAAGGAAUCAUCCAUCAACUAUGCCUUCAGAACAGUUGUGUUUGCAAUAAACAUAGCCACGAUAAAGUGUUAAUGUAUUGCCAGUUAUUGGGGCUGCUUGCUCUCCUCGAAAUUUACUGCUGUGUAAAUGAACAUUAAAGCUCCUCACCAGGUUUGGGCAUUGCUAACAGACAAGAGGAAUGCAUAGGUCAGGCAAUGACAUUUAUUCAACAAACCUCAGGAGAACCUCUCUUCCUCCUGAAAAAUCAAGGUCAUACGCAUAAAUGCCUCUGUGUUGGAUGCAGUUUCCUGAACAUCAUCCAAUAAAUUGUGUGACUGGCAAGGCAUUGAAUGCAGAAUAUGCUAAACCACACCGGGAGGUGUAUCGUCCCGGUGUAUCGUGCUGUGAAAGAUGAAGAAAAAAAUAAUUAGGCUUGGCUUGUGAGAUUGAUCGGUGAAGUAUGUUUCUCCAGCUAUAUUUGUAUAAAGUCGUAUUUUGACAGCCAUGCAAUGAUAAAUACGAGGUGUGUUCAAAAAGAAACCGAACUUUUGAAAUAGCGCGCCAACCGGCAGAGGCAGCGCGCUGUGGCUACUGAGCGCAUGUAGCGGCAGGUUUAGACAACAAUCUCACAUUUGCCGCGUUUCGCUCUGACCGUUAGUUGACGAGCUACAGCCGCUC